Molecule: ribosomal RNA, 810 nt
Filed under: uncultured Microlunatus sp.
Lineage: Bacteria; Bacillati; Actinomycetota; Actinomycetes; Propionibacteriales; Propionibacteriaceae
Description: bacterial SSU rRNA
Rfam family: Bacterial small subunit ribosomal RNA
Source: RNAcentral
CUUACACAUGCAGUCGAACGGUGAAGCGGAGCUUGCUCUGCGGAUCAGUGGCGAACGGGUGAGUAACACGUGAGCAACCUACCCCUGACACUGGGAUAACAGUUGGAAACAGCUGCUAAUACCGGAUAUGACCCUGGCAGGCAUCUGCCGGGGUGGAAAGCUCCGACGGUCAGGGAUGGGCUCGCGGCCUAUCAGCUUGUUGGUGAGGUAACGGCUCACCAAGGCGACGACGGGUAGCCGGCCUGAGAGGGCGACCGGCCACACUGGGACUGAGAUACGGCCCAGACUCCUACGGGAGGCAGCAGUGGGGAAUAUUGCACAAUGGGCGAAAGCCUGAUGCAGCAACGCCGCGUGCGGGAUGACGGCCUUCGGGUUGUAAACCGCUUUCAGCAGGGACGAAGCUAACGUGACGGUACCUGCAGAAGAAGCACCGGCUAACUACGUGCCAGCAGCCGCGGUGAUACGUAGGGUGCGAGCGUUGUCCGGAAUUAUUGGGCGUAAAGAGCUUGUAGGCGGUUUGUUGCGUCGGAAGUGAAAACUCAGAGCUUAACUCUGAGCCUGCUUUCGAUACGGGCAGACUUGAGGGAUGUAGGGGAGAACGGAAUUCCUGGUGGAGCGGUGGAAUGCGCAGAUAUCAGGAGGAACACCAGUGGCGAAGGCGGUUCUCUGGACAUUUCCUGACGCUGAGAAGCGAAAGCGUGGGGAGCAAACAGGCUUAGAUACCCUGGUAGUCCACGCCGUAAACGGUGGGCACUAGGUGUGGGACCCUUCCACGGGUUCCGUGCCGUAGCUAACGCAUUAAGUGCCCCG